This is an RNA transcript of Acanthopagrus latus (yellowfin seabream), 641 nucleotides long. It is a transcript of the gene named guanine nucleotide-binding protein G(I)/G(S)/G(O) subunit gamma-7-like, with no coding region annotated. The record is from RefSeq and is a predicted model, not a curated record. The transcript has 3 exons. NCBI's taxonomy places the organism in Eukaryota, Metazoa, Chordata, Actinopteri, Spariformes, Sparidae.
CAGACAGGGUUCAGAUGAGGCAGCGUUAGUGUAACUGGUUUCCCAUAAGGGAUAGUUACAUUAUUUCAUGGAGCAUAACUGUGAAAACAAAUAUCCAGUCUAACCAGUUUGAGGCUCGGCAUUCAUGUUGGUGCAACUACACACACACACACACCAUCCCCACUAAGUGCAGCCCGUAUGCAUUGAGAAAACAGAGCCUUUGAACUGGCUCCAGCAGUGAAUAAAAAGGGGGUUCAGGUGAGAAAGGAAAGCUUCUCUGACCGGACUCUACUUCACAACCUGAGCUGACUCUCUGGAUCAGGUGAAACACGUCAUUUUCCUACUGCUCCUUUUGGUGUGGAAGAGGGAUUACCAAGUAAAGAUUGUAGGACGUUUUUUUUGCUGAGCUUUUACGCUACAGGAAAUGUCAGGAAAGAUGUGCAGCAGCAGCAACAGUGUUGUUCAGGCACAAAAACUGGUGGAUCAACUUCGGAUAGAGGCAGGCAUGGAGAGAAUCAAGCAGAUCUCCCUGACUGCAUCAGACUUGGUUCGGUACUGCCAGGACCACAGGCGCAGUGACCCCCUACUCACCGGCAUUGCUGCCUCAUCCAAUCCUUUCAAAGACAAGAAGACCUGUGUGCUGCUUUGACAUUCCUCAGCAC